This 1066-nucleotide long non-coding RNA is filed under the name Cyanistes caeruleus (blue tit). Its description in RNAcentral is "lncRNA (ENSCCEG00000001297.1)". Lineage: Eukaryota; Metazoa; Chordata; Aves; Passeriformes; Paridae. The record is from RNAcentral.
ACCAGGGGACACCUGGGAACACCUGAGGAUACCUGGGGACACCAGGGGACACCUGGGAACACCUGGGGACACCUGGGAACACCUGGGGAUACCUGGGGACUACCAGGGGAUACCUGGGAACACCUGGGGACACCUGGGAACACCUGGGGAUACCUGGGGACUACCAGGGGACACAUGGGGAUACCUGGGAACACCUGGGGACUACCAGGGGACUACCAGGGGACUACCAGGGGACACCUGGGGACACCUGGGAACACCUGGGAAUACCUGGGGAUACCUGGGAACACCUGGGAAUACCUGGGAAUAGCUGGGGACACCUGGGAAUACCUGGGAACACCUGGGAACAUCUGGGAACACCUGGGGACACCUGGGGAUACCUGGGAACACCUGGGGAUACCAGGGGACACCUGGGGACACCUGGGGAUACCUGGGGACACCUGGGGACACCUGGGGAUAUCUGGGAAUACCUGGGGACACCUGGGAACACCUGGGGUCACCUGGGGACAGCUGGGGACACCUGGGGACAGCUGGGGACUGCUGGGGACUCCUGGGAACACCUGUGGGACCCCCUGGGGGACACCUUUGGGACCCUCAGUGACCCCUGCUGUCCCCCACUGACCCCCUGUGUCCCCCGCUGUCCCCAGGUGCCCCCAGCACGGCCGAGCUGCGCAUCUGCCGCGUCAAUCGCAACUCCGGGAGCUGCCGGGGCGGGGACGAGAUCUUCCUGCUGUGUGACAAGGUCCAGAAAGGUGCGGGGACACCCCAAACCGGGACACCCCAAACCCUGGGGACACCCCAAACUGGGGACACUCCAAACCCCACACCCUGGGGCACCCCAAACCCGGGGGACACCCCAAACCCGGGGGACACCCCUGGGGGGACACCCCAAACCGCAAUCCCCGGGGACACCCCAAACCCCGGGGACACCCCAAACCCCAAACUGGGGACACCCCAAACCCUGGGGACACCCCAAACCCCAAACUGGGGACACCCCAAACCCCAAACUGGGGACACCCCAAACCAGGGACACCCCAAACCCUGGGGACACCCCAAACCCCAAACUGGG